CCUACGGGAGGCAGCAGUGGGGAAUAUUGGACAAUGGGGGGAACCCUGAUCCAGCGACGCCGCGUGAGUGAAGAAGUAUUUCGGUAUGUAAAGCUCUAUCAGCAGGGAAGAAAAUGACGGUACCUGACUAAGAAGCCCCAGCUAACUAAGUGCCAGCAGCCGCGGUAAUACGUAGGGGGCAAGUGUGAUCCGGAUUUACGGGGUGUAAAGGGAGCGUAGACGGUGUCGCAAGUCUGAUGUGAAAGGUCGGGGCCCAACCCCGGGACUGCAUGGGAAACUGGUGAACGGGAGUACAGGAGAGGUAAGCGGAAUUCCUAGUUGAGCGGUGAAAUGCGUAGAUAUUAGGAGGAACAUCAGUGGCGAAGGCGGCUUACUGGACUGUAACUGACGUUGAGGCUCGAAAGCGUGGGGAGCAAACAGGAUUAGAUACCCGUGUAGUC
RNAcentral lists this ribosomal RNA (440 nucleotides) under uncultured bacterium. RNAcentral's name for it is "partial 16S ribosomal RNA". It matches the Rfam family "Bacterial small subunit ribosomal RNA", at positions 338 to 795 of the family's 1533-position model. The record is from RNAcentral.